GAUAAACGCUGGCGGCGUGCCUAAUACAUGCAAGUCGAGCGAGCGGACGAGAAGCUUGCUUCUCUGAUGUUAGCGGCGGACGGGUGAGUAACACGUGGAUAACCUACCUAUAAGACUGGGAUAACUUCGGGAAACCGGAGCUAAUACCGGAUAAUAUUUUGAACCGCAUGGUUCAAAAGUGAAAGACGGUCUUGCUGUCACUUAUAGAUGGAUCCGCGCUGCAUUAGCUAGUUGGUAAGGUAACGGCUUACCAAGGCAACGAUGCAUAGCCGACCUGAGAGGGUGAUCGGCCACACUGGAACUGAGACACGGUCCAGACUCCUACGGGAGGCAGCAGUAGGGAAUCUUCCGCAAUGGGCGAAAGCCUGACGGAGCAACGCCGCGUGAGUGAUGAAGGUCUUCGGAUCGUAAAACUCUGUUAUUAGGGAAGAACAUAUGUGUAAGUAACUGUGCACAUCUUGACGGUACCUAAUCAGAAAGCCACGGCUAACUACGUGCCAGCAGCCGCGGUAAUACGUAGGUGGCAAGCGUUAUCCGGAAUUAUUGGGCGUAAAGCGCGCGUAGGCGGUUUUUUAAGUCUGAUGUGAAAGCCCACGGCUCAACCGUGGAGGGUCAUUGGAAACUGGAAAACUUGAGUGCAGAAGAGGAAAGUGGAAUUCCAUGUGUAGCGGUGAAAUGCGCAGAGAUAUGGAGGAACACCAGUGGCGAAGGCGACUUUCUGGUCUGUAACUGACGCUGAUGUGCGAAAGCGUGGGGAUCAAACAGGAUUAGAUACCCUGGUAGUCCACGCCGUAAACGAUGAGUGCUAAGUGUUAGGGGGUUUCCGCCCCUUAGUGCUGCAGCUAACGCAUUAAGCACUCCGCCUGGGGAGUACGACCGCAAGGUUGAAACUCAAAGGAAUUGACGGGGACCCGCACAAGCGGUGGAGCAUGUGGUUUAAUUCGAAGCAACGCGAAGAACCUUACCAAAUCUUGACAUCCUUUGACAACUCUAGAGAUAGAGCCUUCCCCUUCGGGGGACAAAGUGACAGGUGGUGCAUGGUUGUCGUCAGCUCGUGUCGUGAGAUGUUGGGUUAAGUCCCGCAACGAGCGCAACCCUUAAGCUUAGUUGCCAUCAUUAAGUUGGGCACUCUAAGUUGACUGCCGGUGACAAACCGGAGGAAGGUGGGGAUGACGUCAAAUCAUCAUGCCCCUUAUGAUUUGGGCUACACACGUGCUACAAUGGACAAUACAAAGGGCAGCGAAACCGCGAGGUCAAGCAAAUCCCAUAAAGUUGUUCUCAGUUCGGAUUGUAGUCUGCAACUCGACUACAUGAAGCUGGAAUCGCUAGUAAUCGUAGAUCAGCAUGCUACGGUGAAUACGUUCCCGGGUCU
RNAcentral lists this ribosomal RNA (1372 nucleotides) under uncultured bacterium. RNAcentral's name for it is "bacterial SSU rRNA". It matches the Rfam family "Bacterial small subunit ribosomal RNA", at positions 28 to 1381 of the family's 1533-position model. The record is from RNAcentral.